This 497-nucleotide ribosomal RNA is filed under the name uncultured bacterium. RNAcentral's name for it is "partial 16S ribosomal RNA". It matches the Rfam family "Bacterial small subunit ribosomal RNA", at positions 28 to 507 of the family's 1533-position model. The record is from RNAcentral.
GAUGAACGCUGGCGGCGUGCCUAAUACAUGCAAGUCGAGCGAACGGACGAGAAGCUUGCUUCUCUGAUGUUAGCGGCGGACGGGUGAGUAACACGUGGAUAACCUACCUAUAAGACUGGGAUAACUUCGGGAAACCGGAGCUAAUACCGGAUGAUAUUUUGAACCGCAUGGUUCAAAAGUGAAAGACGGUCUUGCUGUCACUUAUAGAUGGAUCCGCGCUGCAUUAGCUAGUUGGUAAGGUAACGGCUUACCAAGGCGACGAUGCAUAGCCGACCUGAGAGGGUGAUCGGCCACACUGGAACUGAGACACGGUCCAGACUCCUACGGGAGGCAGCAGUAGGGAAUCUUCCGCAAUGGGCGAAAGCCUGAUGGAGCAACGCCGCGUGAGUGAUGAAGGUCUUCGGAUCGUAAAACUCUGUUAUUAGGGAAGAACAUAUGUGUAAGUAACUGUGCACAUCUUGACGGUACCUAAUCAGAAAGCCACGGCUAACUACGUG